This 1383-nucleotide ribosomal RNA is filed under the name uncultured bacterium. RNAcentral describes it as "16S ribosomal RNA". It matches the Rfam family "Bacterial small subunit ribosomal RNA". The record is from RNAcentral.
UUCGCCCUUAGAGUUUGAUCCUGGCUCAGGACGAACGCUGGCGGCGCGCCUAACACAUGCAAGUCGAACGGAGUUUGAGAGAGCUUGCUUUUUCAAACUUAGUGGCGAACGGGUGAGUAACGCGUGAGUAACCUGCCCUGGAGUGGGGGACAACAGUUGGAAACGACUGCUAAUACCGCAUAAGCCCACAGUGCCGCAUGGCACAGCGGGAAAAGGAUUUAUUCGCUUCAGGAUGGACUCGCGUCCAAUUAGCUAGUUGGUGAUGUAACGGCCCACCAAGGCGACGAUUGGUAGCCGGACUGAGAGGUUGAACGGCCACAUUGGGACUGAGACACGGCCCAGACUCCUACGGGAGGCAGCAGUGGGGGAUAUUGCACAAUGGGGGAAACCCUGAUGCAGCGACGCCGCGUGGAGGAAGAAGGUUUUCGGAUUGUAAACUCCUGUCGUUAGGGACGAUAAUGACGGUACCUAACAAGAAAGCACCGGCUAACUACGUGCCAGCAGCCGCGGUAAAACGUAGGGUGCAAGCGUUGUCCGGAAUUACUGGGUGUAAAGGGAGCGCAGGCGGGAAGACAAGUUGGAAGUGAAAACCAUGGGCUCAACCCAUGAAUUGCUUUCAAAACUGUUUUUCUUGAGUAGUGCAGAGGUAGAUGGAAUUCCCGGUGUAGCGGUGGAAUGCGUAGAUAUCGGGAGGAACACCAGUGGCGAAGGCGGUCUACUGGGCACCAACUGACGCUGAGGCUCGAAAGCAUGGGUAGCAAACAGGAUUAGAUACCCUGGUAGUCCAUGCCGUAAACGAUGAUUACUAGGUGUUGGGGGAUUGACCCCCUCAGUGCCGCAGUUAACACAAUAAGUAAUCCACCUGGGGAGUACGACCGCAAGGUUGAAACUCAAAGGAAUUGACGGGGGCCCGCACAAGCAGUGGAGUAUGUGGUUUAAUUCGAAGCAACGCGAAGAACCUUACCAGGUCUUGACAUCCGAUGCAUAGCACAGAGAUGUGUGAAAUCCUUCGGGACAUCGAGACAGGUGGUGCAUGGUUGUCGUCAGCUCGUGUCGUGAGAUGUUGGGUUAAGUCCCGCAACGAGCGCAACCCUUAUUGCCAGUUACUACGUUAAGAGGACUCUGGCGAGACUGCCGUUGACAAAACGGAGGAAGGUGGGGAUGACGUCAAAUCAUCAUGCCCUUUAUGACCUGGGCUACACACGUACUACAAUGGCGUUAAACAAAGAGAAGCAAGACCGCGAGGUGGAGCAAAACUCAAAAACAACGUCUCAGUUCAGAUUGCAGGCUGCAACUCGCCUGCAUGAAGUCGGAAUUGCUAGUAAUCGCGGAUCAGCAUGCCGCGGUGAAUACGUUCCCGGGCCUUGCACACACCGCCCGUCA